ACUCCUACGGGAGGCAGCAGUGGGGAAUAUUGCACAAUGGGCGCAAGCCUGAUGCAGCCAUGCCGCGUGUGUGAAGAAGGCCUUCGGGUUGUAAAGACUUUCAGUCGUGAGGAAGGUGAGUGUUAAGUUAAUAGGCCUGCUAUUAUUUGACGUUAGCGAACAAGAAGAAGCGACCGCUAACUCCGUGCCAGCAGCCGCGGUAAUACGGAGGGUGCGAGCGUUAAUCGGAAUUACUGGGCGUAAAGCGCAUGCAGGUGGUUUGUUAAGUCAGAUGUGAAAGCCCGGGGCUCAACCUCGGAAUUGCAUUG
This 308-nucleotide ribosomal RNA is filed under the name uncultured bacterium. RNAcentral describes it as "bacterial SSU rRNA". It matches the Rfam family "Bacterial small subunit ribosomal RNA", at positions 335 to 628 of the family's 1533-position model. The record is from RNAcentral.